GUCCUUAAGUAUGGGCUGCAGCAGGUUAGUGGCUAUGGUGGCCUCCAUGUCUAUCUGUGGAUUUUCUUCAGGGCAAAUUAUAUGAGGGUUGGUGCACUGGUGGGGAAAGAAAAAUAUGGAAACAAAUACCAUGAAGACAACAAUCAAUUUUUUGGCCAUCACCAAUGAUUUAUAGAUGCUGCUGAAAUUAAUGGCAAAACACAAUCUGGGAUGUGAAUGAGAGCACGGUACCUCCCAAAUGGCACAGGUGGUUUCACUGUAUGACUGCUGAUUCUCCAAAAACAAAAUGACCCACUCCUCUUAAAUUCAUUUAGACAAACCCUAAAUUCAAAAUCCAGAACAGUAUUACCUUAUUCUACUACUAGAAAGAAGAUACAGAAGUGAGUCUCACCUUCAGCACUUUACA
This 406-nucleotide long non-coding RNA is filed under the name Homo sapiens (human). Its description in RNAcentral is "non-protein coding lnc-ZIC5-6:1". The record is from RNAcentral. Lineage: Eukaryota; Metazoa; Chordata; Mammalia; Primates; Hominidae.